This 71-nucleotide transfer RNA is filed under the name Notocochlis gualtieriana. RNAcentral's name for it is "tRNA-Ile". Lineage: Eukaryota; Metazoa; Mollusca; Gastropoda; Littorinimorpha; Naticidae. The record is from RNAcentral.
GAGUAUUACGCCGGAUGAACGGAAAUCAUUGAUGUUGAUUAAUAUGGAAUAUUUAAUGUUUCUAAUACUAG